UAUUUGAUAUUCCUAACGGAGUCUGCGUUUCGGCCGCAGAAUUUGGAGUUUUACUUCUGUCAAAUGU
Molecule: transfer RNA, 67 nt
Filed under: Hysteromorpha triloba
Lineage: Eukaryota; Metazoa; Platyhelminthes; Trematoda; Diplostomida; Diplostomidae
Description: tRNA-Arg
Source: RNAcentral